This is an RNA transcript of Acyrthosiphon pisum (pea aphid), 256 nucleotides long. RefSeq lists it as uncharacterized. The record is from RefSeq and is a predicted model, not a curated record. The transcript is spliced from 3 exons. NCBI's taxonomy places the organism in Eukaryota, Metazoa, Arthropoda, Insecta, Hemiptera, Aphididae.
GUUUCUGGUUCUUUAGGCCUAGAUGAGAAGACGUUGAAACCGGUCGAGGGUGGAGCAGCGGCUGAGGCUAGGCAAUCACUAAAAAAUAUCCACGCGAUACUUAAACAUGCUGGCACUUCAUUCGAUAAAAUUGCUAAGACCACAGUACUGCUGAAUGAUAUUAACAAUGCCAAGUUUGUAAACGAAGUCUAUCAAGAAUUUGUAAAAGAACCGUAUCCGGCCAGAUCGACUUAUCAAGUGGCUAAAUUACCAUUGG